GUAUCUCUUUCUUUCUUUCUUUUUAAUUAAUAAGAAAAUUUUAUUAAAUAUGCUUUUUUUUACAAUUAAAAUGAGAUAUUCUUUUUUUAAAUAAAGUGCAAGAGUACAAUAAACCUUAAAGAUUAAAUAAAUGAGAUCUUACAAAAACAGAUCAAGAUAAAUAAAUAUAAGCCAAAAAAAACCCAAAAUACUCCACAAACCCUAAUAAGAAAGGAGAAAUGUAGACACCGCCACUGCCAUUGCUACAAAGCCAUCACCCUAUAGCUCAACCCUUGAUCUUUUGUUAAGCUUAUAGAGAUGGAACUUGAUUUGCAACGCCAUAGUGCUUCUUUGAUGAAAAUCAACCUAAAAUCAAAGCAGAAAUACGAGAUUAAAAUAGUUAAUAGAGAGGGAGGAGGAGAGAACUCCCCAUCUACCAGUCUUUCAUGGAGAUAAGCAUUCUCAACCCACCAAAAUUUGGAAUUGAGCAUUUGAAGGAUAUGAACGAUAUCAAAGAAAUAGAUUGAUGCGCUUUGAGCCACCAUCGAAAUUCUUAAUUGAUAUUAAAAAAAA
RNAcentral lists this long non-coding RNA (552 nucleotides) under Ricinus communis (castor bean). RNAcentral's name for it is "long non-coding RNA (RCOM_LNC000755)". The record is from RNAcentral. Lineage: Eukaryota; Viridiplantae; Streptophyta; Magnoliopsida; Malpighiales; Euphorbiaceae.